Molecule: long non-coding RNA, 5066 nt
Filed under: Sus scrofa (pig)
Lineage: Eukaryota; Metazoa; Chordata; Mammalia; Artiodactyla; Suidae
Description: lncRNA (ENSSSCG00040060624.1)
Source: RNAcentral
UUUUUUUUUUUUUUUUUUUUUGUCUUUUUGCCGUUUCUAGGGCCGUUCCCGCAGCAUUGGAGGUUUCUAGGCAAGGUGUCUAAUCAGAGCUGUAGCCGCCAGCCUAUACCAGAGCCACAGCAACCCGGGAUCCAAGCCGUGUCUGCAACCUAUACCACAGCUCACGGCAACGCUGAAUCCUUAAACCACUGAUCAAGGCCAGGCAUCGAACCUGCAACCUCAUGGUUCCUAGUUGGAUUCGUUAACCACAGAGCCACGACAGGAACUCCAAAACUCAGCUUUUGAAUAAUUUGGUAAUUACAUUUUUCACACUUUUUGAUGUAUUUUAUUUUUCUUUUCUGCUUUGCUUUUGAAAUUUCUUACUUUCUUAAGAGUUAUUAAACUAUUUUCUUAUAGUUUAUUAUUUCCCUGAGGUUGCAGAGUUUUGUUCAUCCUGUUUAGAAUUUCACCUGGAAUAGUUUUGAGUACAGGGUGACUUUAGAAUCUGAAUUGCUUUUUUACUCUUCAUUGCCAAUCAACUUUUCCAAUUCCAUUUAUUAAAAAAUAAUCUUUCCCCCCACUGCUCCCCAGUCGUACUGCAAUCCUAUAUCAGAUUUCUGUGCACAUGCGAACCUUGUUCUGGAUACCUUUUCUUUUCUUUUUUUUUUCCCCUUUUUUGGCCGUACCUGUGGCAUGUGGAAGUUCCCAGGCCAAGGAUUAAACCUGUACCAUAGCAGCAACCCUGGCCACUACAGUGAAAACACCAGGUCCUUAACCGGUUGUGCCACAAGGGACCAUCCCUGGAUAGUUUCUUUUGGGCAUCUGUCACAUCGUUUGGCCACCAACAUGCUUUCUAAAUCAUCCUAGCUUCUUAAUAUUUGGGAGACCAAAUAACCCAAACUUUUUUCUUCAAAGGGUUUUUUUUUCUUUUGUCCUCUUAACCUUUUAUUUUUCAUAUGCACUUUAGAAGCACCUUAUCAUGUUGCCACUAAAAACUCAUGCUAUUUUAAUAGAGUCAUUUUGAAGUAAUGCAUCAAUUUGGAGACAGCAAACAUCUUUACAAUAUUGUCUCUUUAGAGAUGACCGUCAUAUAUAUUACUUCAUUCCUUGGGUCUUCUUUAUUCACUUUCAGUAUGCUUUGUAAUUUUCUCCGUGAAGAUCUUCCAACUGUUGGCUAUGAUGAUUUUUUUUUUUAACUGUUUAGCUUGCUUUCUAGUUUUUCUUUACAUUGUAAAUAUUCUUCGAAUUUCAACACGGUGAAAAUUCCUUCACCUAGUGGAUAAAUUGAUUUGGAAUAUAACCAAAGGUCACACAGUACUAAGAUGAUACAAAAAGAGAUCCUAUUUUGGUUUAAAUUAAGGUGACACAAUACUUGCAGAAAGAAAACUUUUUUUUUUUCAUGCGGAUCAUAAACUUCUAUGUUGAAUUUCAAAAAGGAAACCCAGAUGACUCAUGAUCAUUUGGUUAAGUUAUUUGACUAAGCAGUGUUUUCUAAGGAGGAACAUCUUAGCUGGCUAUAUUAAUUUAGUAAUUUCUUAAAGAAAGAAGUCUAUUAUUCUCUAUAUAUUAUUGAAUGUUUAUUUGUAUACUUCCAUGAAUCUCGUAUAUGUUGUGGAAGAGUUUCCCAUUCUAUCCUUCAUAAGUUCUUAUGGCUAGACUAAUAAUAAAAUUGACAAAAACAGAUUGACAGGAGAAAAAGAAACAGAUUUUUAUUUGUGCAGAUGGAGGUGUCAUAGAAACAUGUGGCCAAAGCAAGCAGCUUUUAUAUUUUUAGGACAAACAAUGCAUUUGUAAGGAAUCAACAGGACAAAGAAAUUUAGGUUUUGAGUGUCCAAUUAGUGAAGAAUCUAAAUAGAAUUAGGGCUUGGGUAGUAAAUUAAAGAAGUAGCAAGUUUUGUUUAUAGAGGCUUCUUGGCUCCAAAUUCCAAUAAGGGUUUGCUUCUAACUUCAGAUGUGAAUGGUGCAACUUUCUUUUUCUUUUUUUUUUUUUUCUUUUUACAGCAACACCUGUGGCAUAUGGAAGUUCCUGGGCUAGGGAUCUAAUCCAAGCUGCAGCUGCUGUCCUACACCACAGCCACAGCAGCACAGAAUUUGAGCCAUAUCUGCACUCUAUGCCACAGCUUAUUGGAAUGCUGGAUUCUUAACACACUCAGCUAGGCCAUGGAUCAAACCCACAUUCUCAUGGAGAUGUGAGGUUCUUAACCCAUGAGCCACAAUGGGAACACCCAGUAAUGCACCUUUUUAUGUAGAAGAUGCAUUUUCUUCUUUCAGGAAUACUGAAAGGAAGCUAAGAGUGUUCCUCCUGCAUUGGUUGUUUCUUAGUAACUUCGAUUCAAAAAUAAUCAAUAUGCCAUUGAGGCAUAUUUUGGGGUCACUUACCCUGGGCUCCAACACAUACAUUUGUGAUUAUAACUUAAUAUGCCACCCCACUAUAGCUACACAUUUCUGACAUUUAUAUAUCUGAAAAUUUGACCUAACUCUGUAGUAUAUAGCUUUCUUUUUCCUGUGGUGAAAUGCUUAUAGAUUUCCUUACUUAGCUGCCAUGUAAACAGCUAAUCUCUUGUUAGCUUGCUCUCUUGGGCUGUCAAUAAUCCACAUUUGUUUACUUUUUCUCUAUGUGUCUGGGCUUCUUCUAGUUCUGAAGCCUCUAUUGGCAGAUUGAGGGAGUUUGUCACUUUUUUUCCUUCCUCUUAAUGUCACAAAUAUAUGUGACCUUUUCUUCUGUAAGUAUUAGUGACAUAAGUUUUCCAGUUACUCAAGAAUUCCCCAAACUGCCAUGGAAGUUUAGGUAAACUACUCCACUAUAUUAUCAUUGUCAUUUAAAAACUUUUGAGAUUAUUGUGGCACAAAUAUUUGUGUUCUUAGAUGUUUUUGCAUUUUGGUAUUAUAACAAUUUGAAUAUAUAUUGUUCCAGUUCAUAGUUUGCUUACUUCAUAUAUAAAAUUAACUCUAAAAUCUCUGUAUUCCACAGUCAGAGAGAUACUUGAGUCCUGAAAUACUCAAUGACCAUACUUCUCUGUAACUUUCAUACUCUUUCUAACUUCUCUUUAUUAUAAGGUAAUGGCUUUAUCAUUUCUCCCAUGCACUAAGCACUUACUCUUGGUGAUUUUCUCUUACUUUGGAUGAAUGCUCACCAUUGCAAUUUUGCAACAAAAUUAAAGAUGAGGGAAUUUUAUAUCUUAUCUGCAAUAACUAUGCAUAUGUGAACCUACCCAACCUAUACUUCAUUCUCAGAGUUAAAAUAUGAGAAUGGAGAGAUCUAAUGCCUGAUGGAUAGAGGCUUAACUUGAAUUGGUGAUAAUUUUCUGAAAGUUUUGUCCAUUGCACAAAUGCUUUUGUAGUCAUGGUAGAUAAAAUAGAAAGCCUUGGUUUAUUAUGAAGAUUGAACAUUUUUGCAAAUGUAUGUUUCUCUGCCUCUUAUAUUGAUAAUUACACAAGGCCUUCUACAAUAUCCCUUAUUAUUGUUAAUUUUCUCAAAUGUCUGUGUCUGCUUUCCCAUAUCAGGAAAGUGUAAAUUUUUCUAAAGUGGAAAUAGAGUUCAGUAAUGCAAAACCUUUCUUUUACCUUAUAAGUUUUCCCUUUCAACAUUAUGCCAACAACUUACAUCACUGCCAUAAAGAAAUCAGUGACAACUGGUACAAUAUAUACAUUUUACCUGCCAAGAAUAACCUAAUUAAAUAAAUUGUGUGGAUAAUAUUAGUUAAAUACUUUAUGUAUAUGUCCUUAUUACAAUAAUGUAUUCUCAAGAAUAAGUUGCUUUCUUUUUAUAUUAAUAUUCUAAGGGAAUACAGGGCAAAAACACAAAGAGAUGUAACUUUUUUAGUAAUUAAAAAGGCUUUAACAAACAAAAUUUAACACAUUUCUUAUUUUUUUUAUCCAUUGUUUAUCAUGAUUUGGCUCAUUUUAACUGGCAGCACUUGACAGAGAAGUCCCUCUUUUUCUCAUGCCUUACAUCUGUCUAUUAAGGAUUGCUUUGCAUAAUUAAGGGGUGUGGCUUGUUGUCAAAAUUAACUUGAAAUAUUAGCUAAAGUUGGAAAUAUUGCUGCCUGAUAUACUACAUAUUAUAGUGGAUAGACAGGUUUUUCCUACCUAUCAAUCAGCAGGUACAAAAACUCAUACAUUUUUUUGUGUUGACAAGAAGAGGUAAUCUAAUGGAUUUUUUUCAGAUGAGUCAAAAUUCAGUGCUUUUAGGGAAUUCUCAUAGUGGCUCAGUAGGUUAAGGACCCAAUGUUGUCUCUAUGAGGAUGUGGGUUGGAUCCCUGGCCCCGCUCAGUGGGUUAAGGAUCCAGCAGUGCAGCAAGCUGUCAUGUACGUUGAGAUGGCUUGGAUCUCCCUGGGUGUUGCUGUGGCUGUGGUGUAGGCCUGCAACUGCAGCUCAGAUUCAGUCCCUAGCCUGGGAGCUUCCAUAUGUCAUGGGUACCAUUAUAAAAAUAAAAAAUAAAAAUUUUAGUACUUUUCACCAGGUAGCCUGUGGAUCACUGCUUCAAAAUAAACUGAGAAAAACAUUUGAAGUACGAUUUCCAAGGACCAACUCUAGACCUGCUCCAUCAGACUCUCCAUUUUUGGAGACUAGAACAAUAUUUAAAAUAAAAUUUCUGAAGGUAAAACUAAAGUUUUGCUGAAAUUUGAGAUGACUGUCCAAUUAGAAAGAACUUGUACAUUUUUCCAGUGAUUCUAAUCCCAGCUUCAGCUGACUACAUGUGGGACCUUGGGACACUUAUUUAUUUAAACUUGGGCCUCUGCUUUCUUCUCUAUUAUGUAAUUUCUAAGUCCCUCUCAACUCUAGUUGUCUAUAGACAGAGCAUUUUGAAAGAUACUAAAGAAAAGAAGGAUAGGAAAACUAUCAAGAUGGGAAAAUUAGAGUAUAGAUUUCUUAAAAUCAAUAGGGAAAGAAAGCAAAAUAAAAAAUAAUUUUACUUUAAAAAGUUACUUUUUCAUAUUAUUUUUUCACAAAUGCCAAAACCUUUGAGAAAACCUGAAAAUACAGUGAAGUUAACUUACAUGUUUACAUAUAUACAGACUUCUUAUACUCCCUUAAAUCAUAAAUAGUAAAGAAUGACAUAUAUCACAAAAACAAACAAAAAAAA